Molecule: ribosomal RNA, 492 nt
Filed under: uncultured bacterium
Lineage: Bacteria
Description: partial 16S ribosomal RNA
Rfam family: Bacterial small subunit ribosomal RNA
Source: RNAcentral
AGUGAACGCUGGCGGUAGGCCUAACACAUGCAAGUCGAACGGCAGCACAGUAAGAGCUUGCUCUUACGGGUGGCGAGUGGCGGACGGGUGAGGAAUACAUCGGAAUCUACUUUUUCGUGGGGGAUAACGUAGGGAAACUUACGCUAAUACCGCAUACGACCUACGGGUGAAAGCAGGGGAUCUUCGGACCUUGCGCGAUUGAAUGAGCCGAUGUCGGAUUAGCUAGUUGGCGGGGUAAAGGCCCACCAAGGCGACGAUCCGUAGCUGGUCUGAGAGGAUGAUCAGCCACACUGGAACUGAGACACGGUCCAGACUCCUACGGGAGGCAGAAGUGGGGAAUAUUGGACAAUGGGCGCAAGCCUGAUCCAGCCAUACCGCGUGGGUGAAGAAGGCCUUCGGGUUGUAAAGCCCUUUUGUUGGGAAAGAAAAGCAGCAGGUUAAUACCCCGCUGUUCUGACGGUACCCAAAGAAAAAGCACCGGCUAACUUCGUG